AUGAUGAAAGAAGUAGCCAGAAGAAAACAGUGGAUACACAUAAACUACUACAUAACAUACACCAUACGCAUAGUAGUAGUAAUGACUUUACCAAAGAAAUGGUUAAUUAAUAAACUCACGCGCCAUGAAAAGAGUUCUUUAUUGGAAACAUAUUCAGCAAAAGGGAAGAUUGGAGCAUUUAAAAAUAAAAUGUCAGAUUUUUCAAUCAUGAGCUUAGAUUUGUGA
Vicia faba (fava bean) is the source of this 225-nucleotide non-coding RNA. Lineage: Eukaryota; Viridiplantae; Streptophyta; Magnoliopsida; Fabales; Fabaceae. The record is from the annotation of a GenBank genome assembly.